This 225-nucleotide ribosomal RNA is filed under the name uncultured Alkalibacter sp. Its description in RNAcentral is "partial 16S ribosomal RNA". It matches the Rfam family "Bacterial small subunit ribosomal RNA", at positions 568 to 792 of the family's 1533-position model. Lineage: Bacteria; Bacillati; Bacillota; Clostridia; Eubacteriales; Eubacteriaceae. The record is from RNAcentral.
CGUGUAGGCGGUAUCAUAAGUCAGAUGUGAAAGUUCGGGGCUUAACCCCGGAAUUGCAUUUGAAACUGUAAUACUUGAGUACUGGAGAGGUAAGUGGAAUUCCUAGUGUAGCGGUGAAAUGCGUAGAUAUUAGAAGGAACACCAAAGGCGAAGGCAAGUUUCUGGGAGAUAAUUGACGCUGAGGCGCGAAAGUGUGGGGAGCAAACAGGAUUAGAUACCCCAGUA